CGCGGCCUAUCAGCUUGUUGGUGAGGUUAUGGCUUACCAAGGCGACGACGGGUAGCCGGCCUGAGAGGGUGUCCGGCCACACUGGGACUGAGAUACGGCCCAGACUCCUACGGGAGGCAGCAGUGGGGAAUAUUGCACAAUGGGCGCAAGCCUGAUGCAGCGACGCCGCGUGGGGGAUGACGGCCUUCGGGUUGUAAACCUCUUUCAGUACAGACGAAGCGUAAGUGACGGUAUGUACAGAAGAAGCACCGGCCAACUACGUGCCAGCAGCCGCGGUAAUACGUAGGGUGCGAGCGUUGUCCGGAAUUACUGGGCGUAAAGAGCUCGUAGGUGGUUUGUCGCGUUGUUCGUGAAAACCUGAGGCUUGACCUUGGGCGUGCGGGCGAUACGGGCAGACUGGAGUACUGCAGGGGAGACUGGAAUUCCUGGUGUAGCGGUGGAAUGCGCAGAUAUCAGGAGGAACACCGGUGGCGAAGGCGGGUCUCUGGGCAGUAACUGACGCUGAGGAGCGAAAGCGUGGGGAGCGAACAGGAUUAGAUACCCUGGUAGUCCACGCCGUAAACGGUGGGUACUAGGUGUGGGUUUCCUUCCUUGGGAUCCGUGCCGUAGCUAACGCAUUAAGUACCCCGCCUGGGGAGUACGG
This 643-nucleotide ribosomal RNA is filed under the name uncultured bacterium. Its description in RNAcentral is "bacterial SSU rRNA". It matches the Rfam family "Bacterial small subunit ribosomal RNA", at positions 232 to 885 of the family's 1533-position model. The record is from RNAcentral.